GUCGCUGGCUCAACGAGCAUGUGCACGUCUUUUGCUGCUUGCUUCAUUCUCUUUUCCACCUGUGCACUCUUUGUAGACACUCGGGAUGGGAGAGAGGUUGGCAUUGAUGGUUGACCUCUCUUGAUAUUGAAAAGUCUGGGUGUUUAUGUAUUUUUUGACAUACACGGUUGAAUGUCUAUAGAAUGAAAUGUAGGCUUUUGUCAGCCUUUAAAUGAUAAAAUACAACUUUCAACAACGGAUCUCUUGGCUCUCGCAUCGAUGAAGAACGCAGCGAAAUGCGAUAAGUAAUGUGAAUUGCAGAAUUCAGUGAAUCAUCGAAUCUUUGAACGCAUCUUGCGCUCCUUGGUAUUCCGAGGAGCAUGCCUGUUUGAGUGUCAUUAAAUAUCUCAAAAAGUUUGUGCUUUUUUGGCAUAAGAUUUUUUGGACAUUGGGAGUUGCCGGCUGCUGAUAAAAGUGGUGGGCUCUUCUGAAAAGCAUUAGUUGAGGAGCUUUGCACUCUAUUGGUGUGAUAGACUAUCUAUGCCAGGAGAUGCUUCAUGAUCCUCUGCCAUCUAACUGUCUUUAUUAGACAACAUGAUAACUUGACCUCAAAUCAGGUAGGACUACCCGCUGAACUUAAGCAUAUCAAUAA
This 631-nucleotide ribosomal RNA is filed under the name uncultured fungus. RNAcentral describes it as "eukaryotic LSU rRNA". The stretch from base 224 to 377 matches the Rfam family "5.8S ribosomal RNA". The record is from RNAcentral. Lineage: Eukaryota; Fungi.